RNAcentral lists this ribosomal RNA (558 nucleotides) under Bacillus cereus. RNAcentral's name for it is "bacterial SSU rRNA". It matches the Rfam family "Bacterial small subunit ribosomal RNA", at positions 59 to 598 of the family's 1533-position model. Lineage: Bacteria; Bacillati; Bacillota; Bacilli; Caryophanales; Bacillaceae. The record is from RNAcentral.
CAGUCGAGCGAUGGAUUGAGAGCUUGCUCUCAAGAAGUUAGCGGCGGACGGGUGAGUAACACGUGGGUAACCUGCCCAUAAGACUGGGAUAACUCCGGGAAACCGGGGCUAAUACCGGAUAACAUUUUGAACUGCAUGGUUCGAAAUUGAAAGGCGGCUUCGGCUGUCACUUAUGGAUGGACCCGCGUCGCAUUAGCUAGUUGGUGAGGUAACGGCUCACCAAGGCAACGAUGCGUAGCCGACCUGAGAGGGUGAUCGGCCACACUGGGACUGAGACACGGCCCAGACUCCUACGGGAGGCAGCAGUAGGGAAUCUUCCGCAAUGGACGAAAGUCUGACGGAGCAACGCCGCGUGAGUGAUGAAGGCUUUCGGGUCGUAAAACUCUGUUGUUAGGGAAGAACAAGUGCUAGUUGAAUAAGCUGGCACCUUGACGGUACCUAACCAGAAAGCCACGGCUAACUACGUGCCAGCAGCCGCGGUAAUACGUAGGUGGCAAGCGUUAUCCGGAAUUAUUGGGCGUAAAGCGCGCGCAGGUGGUUUCUUAAGUCUGAUGUGAA